GCCCUGGUGGUGGAAUUGGUAGACACGCAGGACUUAAAAUCCUGUGGUCAGCAACGGCCGUGCGGGUUCAAGUCCCGCCUGGGGCACAA
RNAcentral lists this transfer RNA (89 nucleotides) under Hydrotalea flava. RNAcentral describes it as "tRNA-Leu". It matches the Rfam family "tRNA". From Rfam's summary of the family: Transfer RNA (tRNA) molecules are approximately 80 nucleotides in length. Their secondary structure includes four short double-helical elements and three loops (D, anti-codon, and T loops). RNAcentral also lists the same sequence under 1 other name. The record is from RNAcentral. Lineage: Bacteria; Pseudomonadati; Bacteroidota; Chitinophagia; Chitinophagales; Chitinophagaceae.